GUCUGGGUGGCUCAGUCGGUUGAGCGUCUGACUUCGGCUCAGGUCAUGAUCUCGCGGUCCGUGAGUUCGAGCCCCACGUCAGGCU
Molecule: transfer RNA, 85 nt
Filed under: Felis catus (domestic cat)
Lineage: Eukaryota; Metazoa; Chordata; Mammalia; Carnivora; Felidae
Also listed under: 1 other name
Rfam family: tRNA
About the family: Transfer RNA (tRNA) molecules are approximately 80 nucleotides in length. Their secondary structure includes four short double-helical elements and three loops (D, anti-codon, and T loops). Further hydrogen bonds mediate the characteristic L-shaped molecular structure. tRNAs have two regions of fundamental functional importance: the anti-codon, which is responsible for specific mRNA codon recognition, and the 3' end, to which the tRNAs corresponding amino acid is attached (by aminoacyl-tRNA synthetases). tRNAs cope with the degeneracy of the genetic code in two manners: having more than one tRNA (with a specific anti-codon) for a particular amino acid; and 'wobble' base-pairing, i.e. permitting non-standard base-pairing at the 3rd anti-codon position.
Source: Rfam by way of RNAcentral